AAUAUUGGACAAUGGGGGCAACUCUGAUGCAGCAACGCCGCGUGAGUGAAGAAGGUUUUCGGAUCGUAAAACUCUGUCAUUGGGGAAGAAUAAAUGACGGUACCCAAUGAGGAAGCCCCGGCUAACUACGUGCCAGCAGCCGCGGUAAUACGUAGGGGGCGAGCGUUGUCCGGGAUUAUUGGGCGUAAAGGGUGCGUAGGCGGUCUAUUAAGUCUGGUUUGAAGGCUUAUGGCUUAACCAUAACAAGUGACUGGAAACUGGUAGACUUGAGGAUAGAAGAGGAAAGUGGAAUUCCACGUGUAGCGGUGAAAUGCGUAGAGAUGUGGAGGAACACCGGUGGCGAAGGCGGCUUUCUGGUCUAUCACUGACGCUAAUGCACGAAAGCGUGGGUAGCAAACA
Molecule: ribosomal RNA, 399 nt
Filed under: uncultured bacterium
Lineage: Bacteria
Description: partial 16S ribosomal RNA
Rfam family: Bacterial small subunit ribosomal RNA
Source: RNAcentral